Molecule: long non-coding RNA, 785 nt
Organism: Cyprinus carpio carpio
Lineage: Eukaryota; Metazoa; Chordata; Actinopteri; Cypriniformes; Cyprinidae
Source: Ensembl
ACUUGAUGUAUCUGCUUGUCUGGAUGGAGAAAAUGUCCAUCUGUUGCAGGUGAAUAGCCUCACGAAGCAUGCUGAGAGAGGAUUUCUGUGUUCUCGGUUCACCAGGGGGCGCCGUCUUGAUUUUGCAGACCUUGUCGUGCCCAAUUUUCUCCUGAUCCCCAAUUUCUUAACGACUAGCUGUUCCCUUGGGCUGAAGGCGUUAAAUUGCACAACAACUCCUACAUUCAUUACUGGGAAGUCAAACAGAGAGGCUUUGCAGUGGGAGAAAAUGAACUGGAAUGAAGUGCAAAUCAAUGAUUCAUCAGGACAUUCAGAAAAACAUGGAAACUCCUGACAGAGCUCCAGUCUGGAUCCAGAACACCUGAGAAGAGAUGAUGCCAGCCCCUCAGAGGAACUCAGAUGAUGCUAACCCAGAGACAACAUACAGAACUACCACAUUUUGCUAUAAGUUUGAUUGCAUAAUUGCUGUUAAUAGUGUUAAUCGUCUGUUUGUUUACAUCUUUUAUUGAUUUUUCUGAACAUUUCUGCCGUAUGCACAUAAACUGACAGUCACCACUGAUAAGCUACUCCUAAAUAUUGUAGAAACUUAAUUUUCUGUAAAGUUGCUUUGUAAUGAUUUGUAUUGUAAAAAACGCUAUACUGUACAAAUAAACUUGAAUUGAAAUUGAAUAAUGCAGAGAAAACAUGGCGGAUUUCAUCAGAGAUUGCGGAGAGAAUAGUGACUUACAUCCAGAUGUCAUUCAAUUAUUCUGUUCAGUGUGUAUUUGGCUUAAAAGCAAGAGUGU